GACGAACGCUGGCGGCGUGCUUAACACAUGCAAGUCGAACGAAGUGGCGAACGGGUGAGUAACGCGUAAUCAACCUGCCCUUCAGAGGGGGACAACAGUUGGACACGACUGCUAAUACCGCAUACUGAAGGAGGGGAUUGCGUUGGAUUAGCUAGUUGGGGGGGUAACGGCCCACCAAGGCGAGGAUCAGUAGGCGGUCUGGGAGGGUGGACAGGCACAUUGGGACUGGGGCACUGCCCAGACUCCUACGGGUAGGAGCAGUGGGGAAUCUUCCGCAAUGGACGAAAGUCUGACGAAGCAACGCCGCGUGAGUGGUGACGGCCUUCGGGUUGUAAAGCUCUGUUAGUCGGGACGCGGUACCGAAAUAGAAAGCCACGGCUAACUACGUGCCAGCAGCCGCGGUAAUAC
Molecule: ribosomal RNA, 408 nt
Filed under: uncultured bacterium
Lineage: Bacteria
Description: partial 16S ribosomal RNA
Rfam family: Bacterial small subunit ribosomal RNA
Source: RNAcentral